ACAUGCCCGGGUAGCUCAACCGGGAGAGCGUGUGGCUUUUAACCUCAAGGUCGUGGGUUCGAACCCCACGUAAGUG
Molecule: non-coding RNA, 76 nt
Organism: Rhynchosporium graminicola
Lineage: Eukaryota; Fungi; Ascomycota; Leotiomycetes; Helotiales; Ploettnerulaceae
Source: the annotation of a GenBank genome assembly